RNAcentral lists this ribosomal RNA (497 nucleotides) under uncultured bacterium. RNAcentral's name for it is "partial 16S ribosomal RNA". It matches the Rfam family "Bacterial small subunit ribosomal RNA", at positions 28 to 507 of the family's 1533-position model. The record is from RNAcentral.
GACGAACGCUGGCGGCGUGCCUAAUACAUGCAAGUUGAGCGAUGAAGAUUGGUGCUUGCACCAAUUUGAAGAGCAGCGAACGGGUGAGUAACGCGUGGGGAAUCUGCCUUUGAGCGGGGGACAACAUUUGGAAACGAAUGCUAAUACCGCAUAACAACUUUAAACAUAAGUUUUAAGUUUGAAAGAUGCAAUUGCAUCACUCAAAGAUGAUCCCGCGUUGUAUUAGCUAGUUGGUGAGGUAAAGGCUCACCAAGGCGAUGAUACAUAGCCGACCUGAGAGGAUGAUCGGCCACAUUGGGACUGAGACACGGCCCAAACUACUACGGGAGGCAGCAGUAGGGAAUCUUCGGCAAUGGACGAAAGUCUGACCGAGCAACGCCGCGUGAGUGAAGAAGGUUGUCGGAUCGUAAAACUCUGUUGGUAGAGAAGAACGUUGGUGAGAGUGGAAAGCUCAUCAAGUGACGGUAACUACCCAGAAAGGGACGGCUAACUACGUG